Molecule: ribosomal RNA, 794 nt
Filed under: Glomus sp. G27
Lineage: Eukaryota; Fungi; Glomeromycota; Glomeromycetes; Glomerales; Glomeraceae
Description: SSU rRNA
Rfam family: Eukaryotic small subunit ribosomal RNA
Source: RNAcentral
UAACUUUCGAUGGUAGGAUAGAGGCCUACCAUGGUGGUAACGGGUAACGGGGUGUUAGGGCACGACACCGGAGAGGGAGCCUGAGAAACGGCUACCACAUCCAAGGAUGGCAGCAGGCGCGCAAAUUACCCAAUCCCGACACGGGGAGGUAGUGACAAUAAAUAACAAUACGGGGUUCUUUCGGAUCUCGUAAUUGGAAUGAGUACAAUUUAAAUCUCUUAACGAGGAACAAUUGGAGGGCAAGUCUGGUGCCAGCAGCCGCGGUAAUUCCAGCUCCAAUAGCGUAUAUUAAAGUUGUUGCAGUUAAAAAGCUCGUAGUUGAAUUUCGGGGUUAGUAGGUUGGUCAUGCCUCUGGUAUGUACUGGUCUCACUGAUUCCUCCUUCCUGAUGAACCGUAAUGCCAUUAAUUUGGUGUUGCGGGGAAUUUGGACUGUUACUUUGAAAAAAUUAGAGUGUUUAAAGCAGGCUAACGCUUGAAUACAUUAGCAUGGAAUAAUGAAAUAGGACGUUCGAUCCUAUUUUGUUGGUUUCUAGGAUUGACGUAAUGAUUAAUAGGGAUAGUUGGGGGCAUUAGUAUUCAAUUGUCAGAGGUGAAAUUCUUGGAUUUAUUGAAGACUAACUACUGCGAAAGCAUUUGCCAAGGAUGUUUUCAUUAAUCAAGAACGAAAGUUAGGGGAUCGAAGACGAUCAGAUACCGUCGUAGUCUUAACCAUAAACUAUGCCGACUAGGGAUCGGAUGAUGUUAAUUUUUUAAUGACUCAUUCGGCGCCUUACGGGAAACCAAAGUGUUUGGA